GGUGAGAUGGCCGAGUUGGUUAUGGCGCCAGGUUAAGGUUCAGCGGCGUUUGUACAUUGCAAACUCGCUACUUAACAUAAUUCCUGGUCACGUUUCGUGGCGUGGGUUCGAGUCCCACUCUCAUCA
This 126-nucleotide transfer RNA is filed under the name Bimuria novae-zelandiae CBS 107.79. It matches the Rfam family "tRNA". From Rfam's summary of the family: Transfer RNA (tRNA) molecules are approximately 80 nucleotides in length. Their secondary structure includes four short double-helical elements and three loops (D, anti-codon, and T loops). Further hydrogen bonds mediate the characteristic L-shaped molecular structure. tRNAs have two regions of fundamental functional importance: the anti-codon, which is responsible for specific mRNA codon recognition, and the 3' end, to which the tRNAs corresponding amino acid is attached (by aminoacyl-tRNA synthetases). tRNAs cope with the degeneracy of the genetic code in two manners: having more than one tRNA (with a specific anti-codon) for a particular amino acid; and 'wobble' base-pairing, i.e. permitting non-standard base-pairing at the 3rd anti-codon position. The record is from Rfam by way of RNAcentral. Lineage: Eukaryota; Fungi; Ascomycota; Dothideomycetes; Pleosporales; Didymosphaeriaceae.